Molecule: long non-coding RNA, 453 nt
Organism: Orbicella faveolata
Lineage: Eukaryota; Metazoa; Cnidaria; Anthozoa; Scleractinia; Merulinidae
Source: RefSeq, a predicted model, not a curated record
GACUGAGCGCUAUUAAUUUAAAUGCGAUACGCGAAUUAUCGUGUACAGCUCGCGAAACCACAGGUUACCCUGUCAUCUGCCCAGAUUAGAAUGCUGAAUGAUUUUGUUUAUAGGUAACUGCUAUAAAACUUGGAGCCGAUGUUCCCAAUGGAGUAGCUGGGGGACUGGGCGAUUCUGGAAGACCUGCAAUGACAGGUGCAUUGAACUGGGUUACACUGGGGGUAGUUGUCAGUUGUGUCCAAGUACCUGCUGGAUGAGCGACAAAGCUUGGCAGUGCAGGUGUUAUGGAACUGGAUCGUGCUGAUUGAAGCCAGCUAAAGUGACCGGGAUCUUUCAAACAGUAGACUUACAUUGAAACAAAACGAUAGUGACAGAUCUAGAUUUUUUUUUUUACAUUGUAUAAUGCCCAAGGAAUCCCGGCUGGCUUAAAUAAAGGACAACUUGUCAAAAAAA